UACGGAGGGGGCGAGCGUUAUUCGGAAUUACUGGGCGUAAAGCGUGCGCAGGCGGUCUUUUAAGUCAGAUGUGAAAUCCCCGGGCUUAACCUGGGAACUGCGUUUGAAACUGGAAGGCUUGAGUGUGGCAGAGGGGGGUGGAAUUCCACGUGUAGCAGUGAAAUGCGUAGAGAUGUGGAGGAACACCGAUGGCGAAGGCAGCCCCCUGGGCUAACACUGACGCUCAUGCACGAAAGCGUGGGGAGCAAACAGG
Molecule: ribosomal RNA, 253 nt
Filed under: uncultured bacterium
Lineage: Bacteria
Description: partial 16S ribosomal RNA
Rfam family: Bacterial small subunit ribosomal RNA
Source: RNAcentral